UGUUUCUUUAAGAAUAUACUAACAAACUGCAAGGUGAUGCGGUCACAGAAGAUCUUAUUAGACGGAAUGCUGAACACAACGACUGUGUCAUUUUUUCCCUGGAGGAACUCUCGUUGCAUCAGCAAGAAAUAGAAAGACUAGAACACAUUGAUAAAUGGUGCCGGGAUUUAAAAAUUCUCUAUCUUCAAAAUAAUCUUAUUGGGAAAAUUGAAAAUGUUAGCAAACUCAAGAAACUUGAAUAUUUGAAUUUAGCUUUAAACAACAUUGAAAAAAUAGAAAACUUGGAAGGAUGUGAAGAGCUGGCAAAACUUGACCUGACUGUGAAUUUCAUUGGAGAGCUGAGCAGCAUUAAAAACUUGCAGCACAAUAUCCAUCUGAAGGAGCUCUUUCUCAUGGGGAACCCAUGUGCUUCCUUUGACCACUAUAGGGAGUUCGUGGUAGCAACUCUUCCACAAUUAAA
Molecule: long non-coding RNA, 460 nt
Filed under: Homo sapiens (human)
Lineage: Eukaryota; Metazoa; Chordata; Mammalia; Primates; Hominidae
Description: HSALNT0144167
Source: RNAcentral